Molecule: ribosomal RNA, 440 nt
Filed under: uncultured bacterium
Lineage: Bacteria
Description: partial 16S ribosomal RNA
Rfam family: Bacterial small subunit ribosomal RNA
Source: RNAcentral
CCUACGGGUGGCAGCAGUGGGGGAUAUUGCACAAUGGGGGAAACCCUGAUGCAGCGACGCCGCGUGUGGGAAGACGGUCUUCUGGAUUGUAAACCACUGUCCCCAGGGACGAAAAUGACGGUACCUGGGGAGGAAGCUCCGGCUAACUACGUGCCAGCAGCCGCGGGAAUACGUAGGGAGCAAGCGUUGUCCGGAAUUACUGGGUGUAAAGGGAGCGUAGGCGGGGAUGCAAGUUGGGUGUCAAAACUACCGGCUCAACCGAUAGUCGCACUCAAAACUGCAACUCUUGAGUGAAGUAGAGGCAGGCGGAAUUCCUGGUGUAGCGGUGAAAUGCGUAGAUAUUAGGAGGAACACCAGUGGCGAAGGCGGCCUGCUGGGCUUUUACUGACGCUGAGGCUCGAAAGUGUGGGGAGCAAACAGGAUUAGAUACCCGUGUAGUC